ACGGGUGAGUAACGCGUGGUCAACCUACCGUUGAGUGGGGGAUAACUAGCCGAAAGGUUAGCUAAUACCGCAUACGUCUCCGAGUGGCAUCACUUGGCGAUAAAAGGAGCAAUCCGCUCGAUGACGGGACCGCGUCCCAUUAGCUAGUUGGUGGGGUAACGGCCUACCAAGGCACCGAUGGGUAGCUGGUUUGAGAGAGCGACCAGCCACACUGGGACUGAGAAACGGCCCAG
This 233-nucleotide ribosomal RNA is filed under the name uncultured bacterium. RNAcentral describes it as "partial 16S ribosomal RNA". It matches the Rfam family "Bacterial small subunit ribosomal RNA", at positions 102 to 334 of the family's 1533-position model. The record is from RNAcentral.